GAUCAUGGCUCCAGGAUGAACGCUAGCUACAGGCUUAACACAUGCAAGUCGAGGGGCAGCAUGGUCUUAGCUUGCUAAGGCCGAUGGCGACCGGCGCACGGGUGAGUAACACGUAUCCAACCUGCCGUCUACUCUUGGACAGCCUUCUGAAAGGAAGAUUAAUACAAGAUGGCAUCAUGAGUUCACAUGUCCGCAUGAUUAAAGGUAUUUUCCGGUAGACGAUGGGG
This 227-nucleotide ribosomal RNA is filed under the name uncultured bacterium. RNAcentral's name for it is "partial 16S ribosomal RNA". It matches the Rfam family "Bacterial small subunit ribosomal RNA", at positions 15 to 230 of the family's 1533-position model. The record is from RNAcentral.